AGAUCCCCCCCUCUGGAGUUUUCUACUGCAAGCCUAGGACACAGGCCCAGCUCUGGGUGUUGUGUGUGCCCCAGCCCCUCUCCACUGUGCUGGCCUGUUCCUGCACAACAAUACCUGUCUUGCACCAGGAAGACCACGAUGCUUCAGAUGCCAUCUCUCAGAUCCUGUGUGGAGAGGAAUAACUGCUCUUCUUCAGCUGGUACUCCUGCUGGUUUGGUGUGGGAUGAUGUAGUGAGGAUUAGGGAACUGACUAUGGACUACUUGUGUAGUGAACUCUGUAAAAGUGCCAGAGAAGUUGUCCAUACAAGUCACUGUUUGGGUAUCAAGCUAGAUAAUUGUACCAAAGAGAAUACAAUAGACUGCGUGGCACAUCAGACUGCAGAUGUCAUCACAAUGUCCUUGGAUCAUCAGGCCUUUCACAGCUG
Phasianus colchicus (ring-necked pheasant) is the source of this 425-nucleotide non-coding RNA. Lineage: Eukaryota; Metazoa; Chordata; Aves; Galliformes; Phasianidae. The record is from RefSeq and is a predicted model, not a curated record.